AGCUAUUCCAGCUCGCCUGUCAGAAGCAGCAUGUAGCAGGCUGCUGGGUAAAACUAACCUUUUCCAAAUUUGUCAGGGAAAUGAUUCAAGGCAAUCUAUCGGUCUUGCCACUUUGUGAAAGCCACUGGGGAACCAAAUGUGCUAAGAGUCCUCCCUGUUUCCCUGGAGGUGAGUGGGAGCAGUUCCCUCACAUAAGAGUCUCAAACACUCCGGCUUCACUGUGCCCAAGAACAGCACGGUCCGGGGUGGUCCAGUCUGAUCCCAACCGGCCCACCCGGGGCAUCCGGUGGAAGUCUUCGCCGGAGGAUCCGAAGGCAGCAUCAACGCGGUUGUCUCUUGACACUGCACACAGCAUAGCAUUUAAUCUUCGGAUGUUCUAGUCACCACACAAAUAAAGAGACUGAGCAUCGGAGAAACUAAACAGCUUGCCUGAGGUCUUGUAGAACUGCCUGGAAAAGGAAAAGCUGGAAAAAUUGUUUAUCCAUGGGGGGGAAAAAAAAAGAAAUUGGAUUCUUAGUCACACCAUGCCGAAAAAUUCACUCCAGAUGGAUGAAGAGCUGAAAUGUCAAAAGCAAACUCUGAGAAUUUGAAAAGGAAAUAUAAGUGAGUAUCUUUCUGAGCUUGAAGUAGGGAAGAAUUUACAAAGAUAGAAAAAAGGACAGGCAUAAAAGAAAAGAUCAAUAAGUUUGGCUACAUUAAUAUUAAAGCCUUUGUCCAUCAGAAGACACUUUAAAGAGAAGAAAGACAAUCUAUAAACUGGAAGAAGAUAUCUGUAAGACAUUCAACUGACAGGAUUAGCACUAGAAUAUAUAAAAAUAGCCACAAACUAGUGAGGAAACAACUGCAGAAAAGUGGGCACAAGGCAUGAGAAGCACGGUCACCGCACAGAAGGGAGGUGUGUGAGGCCAGUGGACAUAUGCAGAGAUGCUCGGCCACAGACAAAGGCAAAUCAUGACUAUGAUGAGACAUGAUUCUAUACCUACUGCGUUGGCAAAAAUUAUAAAAAACAUUGAUAAUACAACUAUUGGGAAGGUGUGGAGCAACAGGAUCCCCAGUGGUUGUACGACCAUUUUGGAAAACAAGUUAGUGUUCUCACUUAAAGAUGAUCAUUCUCACUUCCUAUGACCCUGCAAUUUCACUCACGAAUAAUAAGAGAUCAAUACAAUAGUUUCCAAAAAAAAAAAACUGUUCAUAAUAGCUAAAAAGAAAGAGAAAGAGGGCUCCAAAUCCUUAUCCUUGGGUAAAUGGACAAAUCUGCAGUAUAUUCACAAAAUGGAAUAUUGUCUAAGAGAAAAUAUGAGUGAACUACAGCUACGCAGAAUAAAAUGGAUGAAUCUCA
RNAcentral lists this long non-coding RNA (1339 nucleotides) under Homo sapiens (human). RNAcentral describes it as "HSALNT0384702". The record is from RNAcentral. Lineage: Eukaryota; Metazoa; Chordata; Mammalia; Primates; Hominidae.